UACAGAGGGGGCAAGCGUUGUUCGGAAUUACUGGGCGUAAAGGGCGCGUAGGCGGCCUGCUAAGUCGAACGUGAAAUCCCCGGGCUCAACCCGGGAACUGCGUCCGAUACUGGCAGGCUUGAAUCCGGGAGAGGGAUGCGGAAUUCCAGGUGUAGCGGUGAAAUGCGUAGAUAUCGGUAGGAACACCAGUGGCGAAGGCGGUCUCCUGGGGCAUUCUUGACGCUGAGGCGCGAAAGCUGGGGGAGCAAACGGG
Molecule: ribosomal RNA, 253 nt
Filed under: uncultured bacterium
Lineage: Bacteria
Description: partial 16S ribosomal RNA
Rfam family: Bacterial small subunit ribosomal RNA
Source: RNAcentral